RNAcentral lists this transfer RNA (25 nucleotides) under Biscutella didyma. RNAcentral describes it as "partial tRNA-Met". Lineage: Eukaryota; Viridiplantae; Streptophyta; Magnoliopsida; Brassicales; Brassicaceae. The record is from RNAcentral.
AUAACCUACUUAACUCAGUGGUUAG